RNAcentral lists this ribosomal RNA (465 nucleotides) under uncultured bacterium. RNAcentral describes it as "partial 16S ribosomal RNA". It matches the Rfam family "Bacterial small subunit ribosomal RNA", at positions 29 to 507 of the family's 1533-position model. The record is from RNAcentral.
AUGAACGCUGGCGGCGUGCUUAACACAUGCAAGUCGAACGAUGAAGCCCAGCUUGCUGGGUGGAUUAGUGGCGAACGGGUGAGUAACACGUGAGUAACCUGCCCUUGACUCUGGGAUAAGCGCUGGAAACGGCGUCUAAUACCGGAUACGAGCUUCCACCGCAUGGUGAGUUGCUGGAAAGAAUUUCGGUCAAGGAUGGACUCGCGGCCUAUCAGGUAGUUGGUGAGGUAACGGCUCACCAAGCCGACGACGGGUAGCCGGCCUGAGAGGGUGACCGGCCACACUGGGACUGAGACACGGCCCAGACUCCUACGGGAGGCAGCAGUGGGGAAUAUUGCACAAUGGGCGCAAGCCUGAUGCAGCAACGCCGCGUGAGGGACGAAGGCCUUCGGGUCGUAAACCUCUUUUAGCAGGGAAGAAGCGAAAGUGACGGUACCUGCAGAAAAAGCACCGGCUAACUACGUG